UAAUUUAAAGUCUAGCCUGCCCAAUGAUAAUUUUAAUGGCCGCAGUAUUUUGACUGUGCAAAGGUAGCAUAAUCAUUAGUUUCUUAAUUAGAAACUAGAAUGAAAGGUUGAACGAAAAAGUAACUGUCUCUUUAUAAUUUUUUUAGAAUUUUAUUUUUAAGUUAAAAAGCUUAAAUAAGUUUGAAAGACGAGAAGACCCUAUAGAGUUUAAUAUUUUAUUAAUUAAAUUUUAAAAUAGAAUUAUUAUUAUUUGAUUAAAAAAAGUAUUUGAUUGGGGUGAUUGAAAAAUUUAGUUAACUUUUUUUUUUAUUAAGACAUAUAUAAAUGAUUAAUUGAUCCAUUAUUAAUGAUUAUAAGAUUAAAUUACCUUAGGGAUAACAGCGUAAUUUUUUUUAAGAGUUCUUAUCGAUAAAAAAGUUUGCGACCUCGAUGUUGGAUUAAAAUAAAUUUUUGGUGUAGAAGCUAAAAAAUUAGGUCUGUUCGACCUUUAAAAUUUU
This 497-nucleotide ribosomal RNA is filed under the name Aleochara puetzi. Its description in RNAcentral is "partial 16S ribosomal RNA". It matches the Rfam family "Bacterial large subunit ribosomal RNA", at positions 1843 to 2597 of the family's 2925-position model. Lineage: Eukaryota; Metazoa; Arthropoda; Insecta; Coleoptera; Staphylinidae. The record is from RNAcentral.